Molecule: ribosomal RNA, 553 nt
Filed under: uncultured bacterium
Lineage: Bacteria
Description: partial 16S ribosomal RNA
Rfam family: Bacterial small subunit ribosomal RNA
Source: RNAcentral
AGGGGAUCUUCCACAAUGGACGCAAGUCUGAUGGAGCAACGCCGCGUGAGUGAAGAAGGUUUUCGGAUCGUAAAGCUCUGUUGUUGGUGAAGAAGGAUAGAGGCAGUAACUGGUCUUUAUUUGACGGUAAUCAACCAGAAAGUCACGGCUAACUACGUGCCAGCAGCCGCGGUAAUACGUAGGUGGCAAGCGUUGUCCGGAUUUAUUGGGCGUAAAGCGAGCGCAGGCGGAAUGAUAAGUCUGAUGUGAAAGCCCACGGCUCAACCGUGGAACUGCAUCGGAAACUGUCAUUCUUGAGUGCAGAAGAGGAGAGUGGAACUCCAUGUGUAGCGGUGGAAUGCGUAGAUAUAUGGAAGAACACCAGUGGCGAAGGCGGCUCUCUGGUCUGCAACUGACGCUGAGGCUCGAAAGCAUGGGUAGCGAACAGGAUUAGAUACCCUGGUAGUCCAUGCCGUAAACGAUGAGCGCUAGGUGUUGGGGACUUUCCGGUCCUCAGUGCCGCAGCAAACGCAUUAAGCGCCCCGCCUGGGGAGUACGACCGCAAGGUUGAAAC